Molecule: long non-coding RNA, 8318 nt
Organism: Canis lupus familiaris (dog)
Lineage: Eukaryota; Metazoa; Chordata; Mammalia; Carnivora; Canidae
Exons: 4
Source: RefSeq, a predicted model, not a curated record
CCCGAGUGCGGCAGGCUGGCCUGGCCCCCGGGAUGCACCAGGCUGGCCGCCCGGCCCUGGCCCGCCGGGAGUGGCCCAGUGACCUUGGUCGGGCUCUGGGUUCGAGAGCGCUUCCUCCACCUGCUGGCUUCGUGACCUUGGGCCGGCCCCCUUGCCCGAGUCCUGGUGACUCUGCGCUCCAAAACAGCCUGCCUCGUGGGCUUGGGUGGGGUUCCGGAGGGGCUGGGCCCCGCGGUGCACGGAGCUGCCUCCGGGAGAGCGCGGCUGCGUCAGGCCGGGGCCGCCCCGGGAGGUGAAAGAGCCUGCACAGAACGGCCGUGGCUGGCUGCGCCGGGCCCGGCCCCGCACACCAGCCGGUCGGCGUGGAAGCCCCGGGCCUGCAGGCGCCCUUCGCGAGCCCGCCCUCUCCCUGCACCCCCGCUAAGCCGCCGUCCUGGACUCCUGGUGCCUUGCGACCCGCCAGGGCCCCGGAUGGUCCCAUUUCUCACGGCCUCGCGUUCACCCACGUCAUGGGUUGUGCACCCAGCCAGGCCCUCCCGGGCCUUCCCGUGCUCUGCCCCGCGAGGCCUCAGACGCCCGGGUCAGAAAGAGAGAAAGAGGCACAGACACAGAGGGAGAAGCAGGCUCUAGGCAGAGAGCCUGAUGUGGGACUCGAUCCUGGGUCUCCAGGAUCAUACCCCGGGCUGAAGGCAGCGCUAAACCGCUGGGCCACCAGGACAACUUUUAACCCGAAAAUUUAGAAGUGAAAGAAGCAAGCUUAGCCAUCACCAACUGCCUGGGAAUCCCAAGCUCACUCCUGGCACUGAUCAUAUAAGGUAUUGACUAGUAGCAUACCAUGCCCUCCCGGGCCCCCACUCCAGAGUGGAAGGCAACUGGGUCUGAGUGGUUGGGGCAGGGUGUGCACUGCACUGUCAAAUUCCCGGUCCAUCUAAGUCCAUGCUGCUUGGAGCCCCUCCUUUGAGCUGGUACUGGUCCGCCCCACAGCCAGGCUUGGUUCUUACGACUGAGCUGAGGAUGCUGCUUGACUAAGAACUCCAGGACCUGGACUUGUGGUUCCACUCCAAGAAUGACCUCUCACCUGCUAGUUUCUGGAUCAGUAGCCAGACAAGCAACUUUCCUGCACACACUGAUGAAAUAUGCUAAACUGGAGUCAGAGAGGAAUCACACAUCUUGAGUAAAAGGGAAGAAAAUCUAUCCCAGAGAGCAAAUUAAUGCAAAAAAGAAAUCUGGUUCAAAUUAAUGGUUUUAUUUCCAUCUGUAACACUAGCAGGAGUCCAACAGACUGAUGUACAUGGAUAUAGUUUAAAUGUAACAAAGAAAGAUUUGAACUAUGUACAAUGAAGAAAGGAAAAUGAUUUUUUAUCAAUCUUUUCCUAUUUUGCAGUUUCUGAAUGGUAGAAACUCAACAUUUUUUCCCCAAUUUAAUUUAGCAUGAAGGAAUACAACCUUUAUGAUCAACCAUUUGUCCUUAAGCACAAAACUUAAAGGAGAUUUUGGCUGCAUGGCGGUCUUGGUUUCUGAAGUCUGGGUACUGCUGGAACCUAACAAAAGAGUUUCCAUGAAGCCCAGAAGGAACUUAAUGGCAAUGACGUCCAAAUAGAGGGCAGACAUACCUAGCAUCGUGCCGAUGAGAAAUGAUGUCCUGCCCUCCUUGACUCCAAGUAGAAAAUUACUUUCAUCCAAAUUAACUGGAAGUGAGCCAAAGUUAAAAAGUCAGAAUGAAGAAUAAAACAAAUUUCUUUUCACAUACAGGAGGGACACUCCUUCAGCCCCGUUUAAAGUGAAUUCUGUGCCGAGUCCCUGCUCCUUCAGAAAGAUAAACUGAAGGUCAGUUAUUGCUAGCAAAGCCAGAGGAGGCCCUGUUCCCACCUUGAAGAUGUUUCACAUGAAGAGGCUGUUGGUUUGGCUUAAAACCCUCUGAAGAAGGAGGGUGCAGAGGCAGAGGCAGGUUGACACAGCAAGGCCUCACUCCCACUAGCUGCCCCAGGCCCUGUGCUGUGAGAGGCAGCUCAGGCCACCCUGCUGCCUCCUCCAGGACCAAGCAGAGCAUGUUAUCUGGCUGCCCUGGGGAGAAGAGGCCACCAUACUUUGCCAACCAAACCUAUGGAGCAGUCAAAAGCCCAAAGGAUCAAAGCCUAUUGAAGGCCGGAAGAGCAGCUUCUAAAAUGAAUGUCAGUUGGUGUGGGGGUGGGGGUUAAAGCCGAAGGCAGAGCCCAGCUAACAUCAGGUGGGCCAAAUUCUCUGAAACUCUGGGCAGCCAUGACUUGGACAACAGCAUGGACAUGGGUGGCUGGUAAGGCCACAAGUACUGCCACCACCUCCCAGUAUUUAUGCUUGAGUAGACAUUAGGCAGUGGGAACUGAGGACCAGAGGGCAUGUGGCAAACACAGGAUAGAUCUUAUCAGAAAACAGAGAGGAUACCUGACCACAUGUCUGCCCAAAGUACCUAGCAUGGCCUGUGCCAGGUGAAAAGCUCUGGGACACGGGUUAAGUUCCUGAGAACAGGUGGCAGGUAGGACUGGGUGGGACAGGCACUGCUCCACAGGCACCACGAGGACUCUGAGGAAACACUUCCAGUGCUACAUCUCCUGGGCUGCUGAGAAGUAGACAAAGAACAGGCUUUAUUGCACAUUUCGUUCUUAGGAAACUGGGAAUUGCCCUGUAGAGAUUCUCCUGACCUGCAGACCCCCCUGCACAUUGAUGCUAGGGUACAGGUGGGAUCACGAGUAACCUCUGACUCAAGGGAAGAGUCCAGUGGUGGGUCUUUCCAGGGCCAUGCUCACAGCCGGGAUCCUCAGGCCGGAUGGACCUUGUUGGGCUUGGUCACCAUGGCGCUUGCCCAGGAGAGCUGGGCGGACCUGCCUGCUCUCUGACCAGGACCAGCCCCUGGCGAUACUGCCACGAGGAAGCUGGGACAAACUUUCCAGAUGGGGAGAAUUUCUUGCAAACGUGCAUAUUCCAGAAAGAGGCUGGAAUCAUGAUUCUUGGUUCCAAUGUGUCUAACUCCCUCUCUCCUACCCUGGAAGCAAACCGCCCAGAGUAGUAGAGAUGUAGAUCCUGGCCUGGGUGGGCCCUGGCUCCAGCUCCACAGCAGUAAACUGGAGGCAACGAAAGGGUCUAAGUGGGGUUUGGAAACAAAAGAGCAGUUUACAUAUCAGAUGUUGGUUUUGAAAUAGUCUUUUCGAGCUCGGGGUAUUGAGGCAGAGAACCCACGAAAGGCUGUGUGGAGAACCCAACAGGCUGUCUGUCCAUCCAUCUCUCCCAAGCAGCUCUCCACACUUCAUAUAUAAAUGGGGUGGUAUCGUUUGUGGUUGAUCUUUUUCCUGCAAGUCGGGCAAGUGUUAGCAUUCUUAAGGGCAUCGCGGAGGCACUGGCUACAAAAGACGUGGCCACAUUCUGUAGAAACAAUGAGACGUCCGUUCUGUACAAUCUAGAAAACAUAAAAAAAAAAAAAAAAAAAAGAAACAGCUUUUGUGUGUGCCCUGGUCCCAGAGCAGCAACAGUCCCCAGAGAACCCUACUUCUGCUGAGCUGAGAGGAGGAAGGGCUAGGCAGGUCCGGAGAACUGAAUAUACCCACCUGCUCUGCGGUGUCAGGCAAGCAUGAGCAGGGCCUCUGAAGCUGAGAGCAGAGGCAGGAGCCACUCUCCUGGCAGCCAUGGCCCAAGAGUGUUGGAGGGACCCUGGAUGCCUGAACCCACAGGGGCAGCGUUGGACAGCUCAGGAGCCAUAGUAAGCACAGGGGUGGGGAACACGAGGGCCAGAGCUGGAGGCUGCAGGGCCCAAGAAGAAGCUGGCACAUUCUCCCCUCAUACACAGAGAUGUGUGACAGGCCAGAGCAGAGGCAGCAAAUCCCACCAAAGGAGAAGACCUUCUCUCUCAUCUAAUUCUUUCACAGAAGCCACGUGGAAACCAGGAGCAAGGAAGUUUGCUUACCUCAGAGUACCCGUCCAUGCAGAUUGGACAACUGACAGUACCAGAGGGCCUAAAAUCAUAGUGCUUCAUGUCAGUUCCUUGGCAAACUCAAACAUUCAAUUACUGUAAAUGGCUUCAUAUAAGCAGCCCAUACCUUAGCAGAGGCACUAGGCAUUUACAGAAAGGCCAAUGGCCCCAAUGGGGUACAGGAAGGAGGCAAGAGGGGAAUGAAAAGUACACACAACCAGAGGUGCCCUGUCACCCCUGCCUCCCUGUCUGGGGCAGGAGCUGUGCCUAGCACCUCCAAGCAUUCUUGCUGCAGAUCACAGAGAGCCAGUGGAUCUGUUCUUCACAGCAGGUGGUGCCGUAUGUGAACAGCCCAGGGCAAGUCCCAUCCACCCUGACAGUGCCAGACACAGACUUGUCCCACUGGGAAUGGUUGAACUAGCUCUGAAUCCAGACCCACCUGCACCCAGUUGCUGGGCACCUGCACAAGACCUUCGUGAGCCACGGGUGCACAGAACUUGGGAAAGGUCCCGUAUUUCCAACACCCUACACCCCUGAGAAAUGGUGGGGGUGGGGGGGGAGGAUCCCCACUCCAGGAUGCAAGUGGUCCCACGGGGCCAGAAGCAUCUGGUGAGGCAGCAAGGCUUUCGGAGUGCUGGUACCUGAGUCCUGUGGCUGCCUCCUCCCUUGUGUUUCUGGGAGUGUGGGUGGUCACGUACACGUCUCUGUCCCUGGACAGCUCCUCGUCAUCACUGCUCACCACACAGCUGUCAGCAUGGUCCUGGCGUGGCCGCCUUGCGUUCCUCCGUGGCCGCCUCCUCUCUAAGGUGUGAAUCCAUGCUCAGGGCAGGGUUCCUAGCCCUGUCACCUCCCUAACCCCUUCCCGCCAGGGAAAGGCCAGUCCCAGACCCGAGAGACCACUGUCCUGUCUUCCCAGAAGAAGCCCCAUCCCUGCCAUGAGCAGGUGUCAGAGCUGUGGGGCCAUCUAAAGUCUCUAAGGUGGUUAGCUUUCUCCAAAAUCCAACGAGCUCAGCACUAGGGGUACUGUCUCCCCAGCAAACACAGAGCACUAAUUGCAGGGGUGUCCCGCCCAGCAUUUUUGUCCCCACAGGCCUGCCAAGAACUUCAGCAUUGCACCCCUCACCCACAUCACUUCUGUAUCCAAACCCAAUGAAAGAGAGAAGAAACCACUCACCGUCAACAAUCUUUUAAAAAAAGGAAGAAAACAAAAGAGAAAGACACAAUCAGUAUGACAUAAAAUUCUCUGUAUUUUUAAAAACUUAUCUUAAAUGAUAAAAUUGAAGCAUUUUUAAAUUUCAAAUGCAAAAUCCUCAGGGUACCAGUUAAGCCCUCCCACAGAAUGGGAUACAUGCUGCCCUGUCCAGCACCGAUGGGAGAUCUGUACACCUCUCCACUCAGGCCCAUCCCAGGUGCCCACCAGGUGCUGGGUGAGUCUGGGAGCUGCUGGCCUGGUGACCUGGGGAAGUUACUUACCCACUGGGGGGUGCCAGCUUCCUCUUCUGGAGCACAGAGGCACCAGUGCCCACAGCUCCCCCUACUGUUGCGAGGACUACACAAGAUAACAAACAUCUUGGGGCACUAGGGACGGGACUAGCUUACUAGCUCCACAGGCUCCUCAUGUCCGGGUGCACCAGUGACAGGAAUCUUAUGUUCCAGAUAGGCUACUGCCAAAGGUGGAGCCUUCCUGGGAGGAGGGUCUGCAGUGCUUAUGAUAGGGAAUAAUCAAAUAAUUGAAGUGUGACAUGCAGGGACCAAUGAGUGGCACACCAAGGACCAAGAUCAAUCUGAUUCCAUGUUCUCCAGGCUGACAAAAAAGCUACUGAGCAGUCGACAAGGCCAUCAUCUGUUCACUCAUAACCUACACUAGGACUAUUUUUGCUACAAUGGUUUCACACCACAUCUCUUCAGCCCCCUGAAUUCCUAGACCUGUCUCUACAGCAUCACCAGAAGCACACCUUUUCCCUCUUGCUUGCCACAGGCCAUCAACCACCUCAGGAAAGCCCUCCUGAUAGCUGUUGAAAGGCCCUUGGAGAAACUGGAAGCUCUCUCCAGCCCAAGUCCCUUGUGGCAGGGACUGUGAAUACGAAGUAAGCUCCCCCUACCCAGGGAAGCACAUUCGGAGGCCAUCCCAGUUGCUGGAACUGUGUGGUGGCAGACGUGGUGGGCAGUAUGAGAGACUGUCAUGGCAGAGGUCGUGGUGUAUGAAGCCCAGGGCCCCCUCCUUGGCAAGGGGCUGUUAUAGCAUUUCUUGGGACCCAGAGAGAUCAAAACCCCUGGCCUCCUGCUCCAGCCCUUCUGCUUGGGCCAGAAGGAACAGCUUCUAGGAUGGAUCAAGGCUGAGAUGUCUGGAGUUAUUCCUAGAGACCUGCUCCUCCAACCUUUUCAAGACCAAGCAGUAGCUCUUUCUAUGUAUUAAAAUCCAUGUGCUUUAGAACCAUCACAGUGGAUUCAGUUUUCCAACCUGAACCCUGACAGAUACAAACAGCCAUCCCAGGAAAGAAGAAGGUCUAAGUAAGCAUAAAGGUCUUCAUUUUGCAGAUGAGAACACGACCCACAGGCAGAGCUACUAAAGGCACUUCCCCCACCCCCUAGAAGAGGCUGGAUGGACUGUGCAACUAUGAAAUUGAGGGGACAGCAAUCUCAUCACUGGGAUUCUUAACUGGAAAAAAAGCUUGGGCUGACAAGAGAUGAAGUCCUUAUGAGGUCUAUAAAAGGAGGGCUCUGAAUUUAGCCAAGAACAAAAGGAAAACCUGCUGUAGGCAGGGAUGACUCUAGCCUUCUGGCACUCCAACACUGCCUCACCUCCUUUGGUCAGGACGGGCCAUUUAAUGAGGUGUGGACACACCUGGAAGGGAACACAACGCUGCUGGCUGCCCAGCAAGCGGUGUGUGGGAACCGGGUCUCCAUGGGCUCUCGUGAAUCAGAACCAGCUUGCUUCCAGGAAGUGCCAGGCUCGGGCCAGACCUGAACCCCCAGGGAGGUACAGACGCUGCCUCCUCCCCAAGGCUCAGGAUGGGAGCUCCUCACAUAAUUACUGGGUAAGUGUAGUGGCCAGAAAGCUAUCCUCACUGCUGAGGACGCUGUCUCUGUCUUUUAACAGAAAAGCUCAGGGAGGAAGGUCCUCAUCCUAAGUGUAGAAAACAAUGGAGCCACAGCCUGGCCUCCUAGCUCCCUGCCCUUGGCACCUCUGUGCCCACAUCCUGGCUGAGCGACAGGCGACACUGCAACCAGUGGUCCCUCCAGCCAACAGCUGAACCACAUCAAAUUCCAGAACCUCUGUAGGCAUCUGCAGGCACUCUGGAAUGGCCCUUCCUCGUGCCUGGAGCCCUGCAGGUAGCAUAGUGCUUACCCGGAACAAGAGAUGGGGGUGGGAUGGAGGGUAGGGGAUGGGCAGGAAGCUCUGAGGAUUCUCCUCUGGAAGGGAGGCCUUUAAAAGAAACAAAAUACCAACACCCCAAACCCCUGGUCUGAAUAGCUGAGUCAGUACUGCAACAAGGGGCUUGAGAUCAGACCUGCACAUCCCACUUCCCCUUUAGGUCUGUUUUUUCUUUCUUAAGUAUGGAAUAAACCACAGGUCAGAGCACUGACACAUAUGACAGGUCUGGAGAAAGGACAACCCACAGAAGACACCUGGUGUCACUUGCUUUCACACCAGGGUUCACACAUUGACUCCGGGCCGCUCACCUGAAGGCCCUCUGGGCUCCUGAAACACAGCCUCAGAAUUCCUCCAAGUCCUGACAUCCAUGUCACAGGCUCCUGGUCAGUGAGGGAGGACAAGCCCCUCUACCACCAGGACACAAAACCCCAGGCAUUCUAGGUACCUCCUGGGGCUGCAAACAAUAUGCUGAGUGAAAUAAUAGGACAAACCAAGCAGAAGUCCCUGAGGUCCUCUGUAUGCAAGCAGGCCCCUCACAUUCCUAAAAAUGCUCAGCCAGCCAAAAGCUCUGCAAGCCACUUGAUUUAGACAGCCUCCUCACUUGGCUUCACAGGUUGCUGCACUGGAAAAACAUCUACCUCCACCUACUGGCUCCUCUCUAGGUCCAGUGGUUGCACACAGCAUGCAAGUAUACAUUCCUGUUACUGUUGCCGUGCCAGGAGUACCAGGAAAACCGGUUCUCACAUUAACGUUCCAGUCAAAGCACUUCAUGGAAGAUGAAAACAAGCUACCACCACCACCAGACUGCCAGGAGUAAAGUGGGAGGGAGCACGUGGAGGAGAGUACACCGAAAACAGUGGAAAGCAUGUGAGUGAGCACAAUCCUGUUAAAACAGUUUGCCAUCAAUCUAGUAAAAGUCAAAGAUACACAUGCCCAGGGAUCCAGCAGCGAUGGCCUUUUUUUGGGUCCACAAUGCCCAAAAUAAAAGUUAAUUUGUAGAGA